GGUCAAGUUAUUAAGGGUUUACGGUGGAUGCCUUGGGACCAAGAGCCGAAGAAGGGCGUGGUAAGACUACGAUAAGCCUCGAUCAGCUGUCUAACAAGCUUAGUCGAGGGUUCCCGAAUGGGGAAACCCGUUCUGGGUUAUACCAGAACAUUCCGCAAGGAAAGGUAAGUGUGUGAACUGAAACAUCUAAGUAACAUGAGGAAAAGAAAUUAAAGAGAUUCCCUUAGUAGUGGCGAACGAAAUGGGAAUAGCCCAAACCGGUAGGGCUUAGUGGGUUGAGGCCCUAUGUCCUUCCGGGGUUGUAACGCAUUCUAGUUUUCUCCUCAAAGAAAACAAGGAGUUACAAAAUCUUUUUUUAAUCGAACGUACCUGGAAAGGUCGAUCAUAGAAGGUGAUAAUCCUGUAGAUGAAAAGAAAAGAUCUCCUAGAGUGUUGUUGAGUACCACGGGACACGAGAAAUCUUGUGGGAACCUGGGGAGA
Molecule: ribosomal RNA, 480 nt
Filed under: SAR202 cluster bacterium
Lineage: Bacteria; Bacillati; Chloroflexota; Dehalococcoidia
Description: partial 23S ribosomal RNA
Rfam family: Bacterial large subunit ribosomal RNA
Source: RNAcentral